UGCCGAGCCGGCCACAGGAGGCAGGGGCGCCGUGCCGCCGCGCCGAUGCGUCGCGUGCACAGCUGCACAGGGGGCCUUGCUCCACAGCGCUAGCCACCGGCCGUGCCCACGCCGCGCAGGCCGUCGGGGCGCUGUACCGCUGCGCCGGGCGGCAGGGGCGAGCGCACUCGUGCGAGCCAGGCGCGAAAGAGCAAGAGCAAGCCAAGGUGAGUAACUGAGCAAGGAAGCCACUGAACCAAGGUGAGCAACUGAGCAAGGGAUUGAAGAAUUUAUUCAUGUUUCGUGAAAUGUAUCAUUGCAAUUUGUGAUUACUUAUGCAUUUUGAAAAAUUAGCAGCAAUGUAAGCAACUAAGCAUCUACUAAUGAAAGUCAGCUGCAGAUAGUGGUAAUCCAAGGACAGAGUACUAGUGGGACAAGCACAAUACGAAUUUCCCGCGCAGCCUCCAGCGGGGACGGCGGGCCCCCGGCGGAGGGGGACAAGGUGCGGAAAGGUCCGUCCCUCCUGCGCGGAGUCAGAGAUCCGGUGGGGGAAGUAAGCUGCUGUCCUCGGAGCCGGCCAACGCCGCGGCCGUGGUGCUGACCAGCACGCUCGCCUGGGCGAGUGACAGACAGAUGAGGGCCUCCCCCGAGCGGCGGCCGAUGGCCUCUUCCCUGUACAGGUGCGAACCGGAUCCAGACUGCCUCCUCCUACCUCGGGCGCCCUCAUUUCCGUCCCUCGAUUUGACGACCUGGACUCUUCUCCGCCUUCCUGCCUUGACGUUGCCUUGUCCAUGCACUCCACGCCAGCGGGCGGCGGAUCCAACACCAGGUACAUUGCCCAACGCAAGGUAUGCAAUGCUUCAAACUCGCGCUUGUGCUGUACAAAUUAGAAAUAUUUGACUAGGGCUUAUGCAAUUUUUGAGGAGAGUAAACUUUGAUUAUGCUCAGUCACAACUGAUGCUCACAAUAGUCUAUGACUGAAAGAAAGUAUUUUAUCCUUUAGUUCUUAUUAAUGAUCGAAAUCAACCAGUGAAGUAUCGUUCCAAAGAUAUACACAAGUUCUGUUGAUGUGAUUCAAUUAUACAGAACUAUAAAAAUGCAGCAGGCCAAUAAUUACUGGAUAGUUUUGGAUGUUCCUUGGUAGAUGACUGUUGUGUACAGUCUCAGGAUGAACCUUUAAACUAAGCUGGUAGAGAAAUGCUUUUUGCUUGACAAUGAUCUGCCUUGUUCAUUCAAAGGUCGAAUUUAUGAAGGGACCUCUCACUUUUAUCUUCAUUAUCUUUGUCAUUGAACAGCAAUUCAUUCGCAUUUCGUAACUGCAGAUGCUAGCCAAUUGACAAGACAAAAUCUUUACAAUCCUUUAUUGUUACCCAAAUGACUUUCCACUAUAUCAAACUAAUAGUGUUGAUCAAUACAUCCUGGAUACAAUAUAAUUGGUAUUUUUAUUCAUUCAAUACCUGUUGCACUGAAUAUGAAAGUGGUGCAUUUUAAUCACGGCAUAUCAUAUUGUGAUUGGCUUCUUCAUCGUCCUAUAUGACUGAUAGAUUCACAUUGUUGCAAGCCAUCUCUUGUAGCCUGUAGGUGAGAAUGGUAAAAGUAUAAACAUAUAAUCUAAAAUUAUGGCUUGAUGAUGCCUUAUCUCAGUCCUACAUAUUUUCAUUCCAAGAUACCUUUCCUGCCGGUGAGAAUGAUGCCUUUAUUGAUUGAAAGUUGAGAAAGGAUUCACACGUGUUAUUAUAUUUGCUUAUUGAAUUCUUAUUUGAUUCUUAUAUAUAUGCGCAACCUAGCACUUUAGGAAUGCAUGUAGGUUUUGACGUAAGUGAAAUCUGAUGACCACCAGGGAGCUGUACCUGCGCUUGGUUGUUUAUUGUGCGCCUUAACUUGUCUUUCAGUGUAUAUUUCAUAUUUCCCUGCACAACAAAUUUAGUGUGAAGAUAAGUUAUGCACAGGCUGCAUAAGUUCGUAAGUUCUGAAGCUCAGUUCCAUUUUACUACUCCAUACUUUUUUUUUACUGGUUAUAUUUGUUAACUGGCUAAUGUAUCUCCGUCUUAUAGUCGAGUGUUAUUGUUCCUUGUCCUACUCCUAUGGCUUAAUCUAGAAUACCAGUGCAAGAUGUAGUGGUAUGACAUGUAUCAACCAUUGGGAAAUCAGAAAGCUAGGUCCCCGUUUGUUCCAACUACAUUAUCUCUGGCCUGUUACAUCAGCAUUUGCACAAAUAAUUAUGUUUUGAAGCUUUAAUCAUAGACCUAACUGUUACAUACAUUCUUUUAGUAAUAUUUUUGAGUGGUGAACUCUUUUCCAUAAAACAUUGUUGCUGAUAAGUUUAAGUGGUUAAUAUGUACAAGGAACUGAAGAAGGUCUGGAACUGGAUGAAAAAAGCUCAUAUUCCUGAUAAUCGGUGAACUGGAAGAUGCUCCACAGGUAGAGGAGAACGAUAGGUCAUGUCGGUGAUUUACGGUCUGAUACUGCAUAGGCAAUUAAGGUAGUAAAUAUGUGGCCGAGUGCAGCCUGAUCUCAUGCAUACAUCUCAUGUAAGUUAUGGUUUCUAUCGCAAAUGAUUUAUGGUUGUGUGGAUUCAUUUGUUUUCCCGAUGAAAUAGUCAAAUAGCGGAAUGCCUAUAGAACAUUUGGACGACUGAUUCUGCUGUCUA
This is a long non-coding RNA of Panicum virgatum (switchgrass), 2629 nucleotides long. RefSeq lists it as uncharacterized. The record is from RefSeq and is a predicted model, not a curated record. NCBI's taxonomy places the organism in Eukaryota, Viridiplantae, Streptophyta, Magnoliopsida, Poales, Poaceae. The transcript has 2 exons.